RNAcentral lists this transfer RNA (85 nucleotides) under Candidatus Pacearchaeota archaeon. Its description in RNAcentral is "tRNA-Leu". It matches the Rfam family "tRNA". From Rfam's summary of the family: Transfer RNA (tRNA) molecules are approximately 80 nucleotides in length. Their secondary structure includes four short double-helical elements and three loops (D, anti-codon, and T loops). Further hydrogen bonds mediate the characteristic L-shaped molecular structure. tRNAs have two regions of fundamental functional importance: the anti-codon, which is responsible for specific mRNA codon recognition, and the 3' end, to which the tRNAs corresponding amino acid is attached (by aminoacyl-tRNA synthetases). tRNAs cope with the degeneracy of the genetic code in two manners: having more than one tRNA (with a specific anti-codon) for a particular amino acid; and 'wobble' base-pairing, i.e. permitting non-standard base-pairing at the 3rd anti-codon position. The record is from RNAcentral. Lineage: Archaea; Nanobdellati. RNAcentral also lists the same sequence under 1 other name.
GCCGGGGUGGCGGAAUUGGGAGACGCGGCGGACUCAAAAUCCGCUGGGAGUUAAUCCCGUGCGGGUUCGAGUCCCGCCCCCGGCA